UCAGACGAUGCGUCAUGCAUAUCAAUAAGCGGAGGAAAAGAAACUAACAAGGAUUCCCCUAGUAACGGCGAGUGAAGCGGGAAGAGCUCAAAUUUGAAAUCUUAAAGGGUUUCCCUUUACGAAUUGUAGUUUAAAGAAGUGUUUUCUGUUGAGGUUUUGGUAAAAGUUCUUUGGAAUAGGACAUCAUAGAGGGUGAGAAUCCCGUAUUUGACCUUUACUUUCAACUUUGUGAUACACUUUCAAAGAGUCGGACUGUUUGGGAAUGCAGUCCAAAAUGGGUGGUAAAUUUCAUCUAAAGCUAAAUAUUGGCGAGAGACCGAUAGCGAACAAGUACCGUGAGGGAAAGAUGAAAAGAACUUUGAAAAGAGAGUUAAACAGUACGUGAAAUUGUCAAAAGGGAAGCGUUUGACACCAGUGUUGUUUUUCUGAAAAUCAAUUAAAGAACUGUUUAUGCUAAGUUGUUUAGACUUUAUCAGCUAACUGUUUAGUUUUGAGCUUUUCUUUAAUGCACUUUUCAGUUAACAAGUCAACAUCAAUUUCUUUUGCUGUAAAAAAGCUUGAGGAAGGUGGCUUGAGAUUCGUCUUAAGUGUUUAUAGCCUCUUGCCUAUGCAGUCGGAGAGAUUGAGGUCUGCAGCGUAGAUCCUUCGGGGCUAAAUGCAUUUGUGCUAAGUUAUAGCAUUUCAUAGACAACUUGUUGACUAUGAUUUGUCUUGUAGCUUACUCGCUUAUGUUAUUUUACCUACGCUUAGGAUGUUGAAUCUGUGCGAGACUAC
RNAcentral lists this ribosomal RNA (774 nucleotides) under uncultured Neocallimastigales. Its description in RNAcentral is "partial large subunit ribosomal RNA". It matches the Rfam family "Eukaryotic large subunit ribosomal RNA", at positions 18 to 644 of the family's 3401-position model. Lineage: Eukaryota; Fungi; Neocallimastigomycota; Neocallimastigomycetes; Neocallimastigales. The record is from RNAcentral.